AGCUCUCCUCAACCCAGUUUCACUGAGAAUCAGUCGUGAGAGGAAAUAGCUUUUGAGAUGAAUUUUCAUCACAUUAAACGCACGACUCCUCACUCUCUACUGUCUUUGAAUGUCCAAAGGCGGAAUGGAAGCUCCUAAGUUAAUUUCCAAAGGUCUAGGGGCCCAGGGAAGCCCUAACCCCCCCUCCCCUGCACUUCUUGCACCCUAACAUCCUGGAAUGGGGAGAAACUCUGGGAUCUGUGGCUACGGAACCGAGAGGACCUUAACAAGUUAUGGUUGUUGAAAGGGGGAGGAGGGAUGGAGGAGAGAAAUGGAAAGGAGAAAAAAAAAUAACAUUUGUGUUCAUUUACACAUUUCCUGUGCGGAACAAAAAAGUCCCACCAUCAGCAAAAGAAGUCUCUUCCUCCAAAAUAGCAGCCAAAGAGGGAAAAUUAGAAUAUGCAUAAAUUCCUUCAUUUUCAUUCGCACAGAGCAUGAUUUCCGGCAGAUUUGUAUUUAAACUGCUCGAUUAAUCCCAAUUUCUGAACAGCAUUUUACUUAGCAUCUUCCCAAAACUCACCUAAAGAGUACUGCUCUCCUCCUACCACCUCGUUUUGAAUCCUCCCUCUUCCCUGUUCUCCAACUGUCAAUGAGAAUUUCAUUGAUAAGACUGUACCUUUAUUUUUCCUGUCCGUUGUUUUCUUUUCAAAACUGGAUUGAUGCAUUGGACUACACUUUAAUACAAACUGGCUGCUGUCUGUGAGCCAUAACUGCAGAUGAGAACCUAGUGGAAAGGAUAUGUUUUUGAAGUGUGUACCUGAAAGAGACUAAACGUGAUAGGACCAAUAGACUUUUGCAGCUUCUCUCAGGGCAUGGAAUCCUUUCCUGUUCUACACAGGUCAUAUCCUUUCACCAUUAGCAAUAGUCAGGAUGCUUGAACAUGUCCUCCCCCAAACCUCCCUCUCUUGUUUCUCUCCAUUUAUAAGGAGCAUGAUAGACAAUCACAACCCUCUUCAAAGGAAUAUUACUCUUCAUAAAUAUUCAAAGUGUGUCAGUCCAUUAAAUCCCCCCACAGCCCAUUUCUAAAAUAUUUGCUUUGCCACUGGUGCAACAGAUCUGGCUGUAUCUGCCUUGAAAAGUUCUUUGUUGGGGAAAAAAAAAACUGUUAGCAUCAUUUGAAACCAUUCCUUUCAAAAUAUCAUCAGUUGACUUGG
This 1193-nucleotide long non-coding RNA is filed under the name Lynx pardinus (Iberian lynx). The record is from RNAcentral. Lineage: Eukaryota; Metazoa; Chordata; Mammalia; Carnivora; Felidae.